Non-coding RNA from Cordylochernes scorpioides, 73 nucleotides. The record is from the annotation of a GenBank genome assembly. NCBI's taxonomy places the organism in Eukaryota, Metazoa, Arthropoda, Arachnida, Pseudoscorpiones, Chernetidae.
UGCAUCGGGGCCUGGAAUCGAACCCAGGCCGCCCGCGUGGCAGGCGAGCAUUCUACCACUGAACCACCGAUGC